AUACGGAGGGUGCAAGCGUUAAUCGGAAUUACUGGGCGUAAAGAGUACGUAGGCGGUUUAUUAAGUCAGAUGUGAAAGCCCCGGGCUCAACCUGGGAACUGCAUUUGAAACUGGUAAACUAGAGUAUGGUAGAGGGGGGUAGAAUUUCUGGUGUAGCGGUGAAAUGCGUAGAUAUCAGAAGGAAUACCAGUGGCGAAGGCGGCCCCCUGGCCCAAUACUGACGCUGAAGUACGAAAGCGUGGGUAGCGAACGGGAUUAGAUACCCCAGUAGUCC
RNAcentral lists this ribosomal RNA (274 nucleotides) under uncultured bacterium. RNAcentral's name for it is "partial 16S ribosomal RNA". It matches the Rfam family "Bacterial small subunit ribosomal RNA", at positions 523 to 796 of the family's 1533-position model. The record is from RNAcentral.